UGGUCAAGCUAUUAAGGGCUGCUGGUGGAUGCCUUGGUAUCAACAGGCGAUGAAGGACGCGAAACCCNGCGAUAGGCAUCGGUGAGCUGGAAGAAAGCGUAGACCCGGUGGAAUCCGAAUGGGGAAACCCGGUGAGAGUAAUANNUCUCAUCAUCCUUAACUGAAUACAUAGGUUAAGGAAGCAAGACCUGCCGAACUGAAACAUCUUAGUAGGCAGAGGAAAAGANAAUCAAUAAAGAGAUUCCCAAAGUAGCGGCGAGCGAAAUGGGAAAAGCCCAAANCCAGAGUCAUUGAUUCUGGGGUUGUAGGACCAAUCAAAAGAUCAGGAAAUCUUAGUCGAACACNNUUCUGGAAAGCUGGACGACAAAGGGUGAUAGUCCCGUAGACGAAAAGAGNNGACCUGGCAAGAUUGGCACCUGAGUAGAGCCGGACACGUGAAACCCGGUUCGAAGCAGGGAGGACCACCUCCCAAGGCUAAAUACUCGUUGAUAACCGAUAGCGAACCAGUACCGUGAGGGAAAGGUAAAAAGAACCCCUGNUUAGGGAGUGAAAUAGAACCUGAAACCAGCAGCUUACAAACGGUCGAAGGCCUAUGCCCUUUAUAAGGGAAUGGCUGACGGCGUGCCUUNUGCAUGAUGAGCCAGCGAGUUACGCUAUAUGGCAAGGUUAAAGGACAUACGUUCUGGAGCCGAAGUGAAAGCGAGCGUUAAAAGCGCGAAUCAGUCAUANNUGGCGUAGACACGAAACCACGUGAUCUAUCCAUGACCAGGUUGAAGCAAGGGUAACACCUUGUGGAGGACCGAACUAGUAACUGUUGAAAAAGUUUUGGAUGAGUUGUGGAUAGGGGUGAAAGGCCAAUCAAACGUGGAGAUAUCUUGUUCUCUUCGAAAUAACUUUAGGGUUAGCCUCGGACAAAUUCUUUCCAGGGGUAGAGCACUGAAUUCACGCGGGGACCUACCGGUCUACCAAAGGAAAUCAAACUCCGAAUACUGGAAAGCAGUCCGGGAGAUAGACAGUGGGGCUAAGCUUCAUUGUCAAAAGGGGAACAGCCCAGAUCGCCGAAUAAGGCCCCUAAUUCUAUGCUAAGUGAGUAAGGAAGUAAAGUUUCUAAAACAGUUGGGAUGUUGGCUUAGAGGCAGCCAUCAUUUAAAGAGUGCGUAACAGCUCACCAAUCGAGAAACUUUGCGCCGAUAAUAUCCGGGACUAAAGCAUAGAGCCGAAUUCGCGGGUGCAUAUUUUGAAUAUGCGNNCGGUAGGAGAGCGUAGUAUGCGCGCAGAAGAUGUACCGAAAGGAGCAUUGGAGCACAUACUAGUGAGAAUGCAUGGCAUGAGUAAACGAUAAAGGCAGUGAAAAUCUGCCUCGCCGAAAACCCAAGGUUUCCAGGGUAAAGCUCGUCUUCCCUGGGUUAGCCGGUCCCUAAGCUGAGGCUGAAAAGCGUAAGCGAUGGAAAGCAGGUUAAANNUAUUCCUGCGCCACCGAAGACUACAGUGAAGGAUUGACGAAGUAAGUAAAGCACGCGGACGAUCGGAAAUGUCCGUGACGCUACGAGGNNAAGGCUGAUAGGCAAAUCCGUCAGCAGGAUUCCAGAUAGCGGCCAAGGGGAGCCAAAAGUGAACCGAUGGUGUAGAGCGACACUUCCAAGAAAUAGAUUCUAACUGUCGAAGGUNGACCGUACCAAAACCGACACAGGUGGGUGGGAAGAAUAUUCUUAGGCGCGCGAGAGAACUCUCGUUAAGGAACUCGGCAAAUUAUCCCCGUAACUUCGGGAGAAGGGGAGCCAUGAGUCGUGACAUAUUUUCAUAUGAAGCGAAGCGUGGCCGCAGAGAAAUGGCCCAGGCGACUGUUUAACAAAAACACAGCACUAUGCAAAGACGUCUAAGUCGAAGUAUAUGGUGUGAUGCCUGCCCAAUGCCAAAAGGUCAAAAGGAGAAGUUAGCAGCAAUGCAACGCUUCGAAUUUAAGCCCUGGUGAAUGGCGGCCGUAACUAUAACGGUCCUAAGGUAGCGAAAUUCCUUGUCGGGUAAGUUCCGACCUGCACGAAUGGUAUAACGAUCUGGGCACUGUCUCAACGAGAGGCUCGGUGAACUUGUAGUAGCGGUGAAGAUGCCGUUUACCCGCAAUAAGACGGAAAGACCCCGUGAACCUUUACUGUACUCUGGUAUUGGCUCCUAACUUGUCAUGUGUAGGAUAACCAGGAGACUAUGAAGUCCCAUCGUCAGGUGGGAUGGAGUCAACGUUGAAAUACUGGUCUUGACAAGUCGGGAAUCUAACGUCCGCCCAUGAAGCUGGGGGACGGACAAUGCCAGACGGGCAGUUUUACUGGGGCGGUAUCCUCCUAAAGAGUAACGGAGGAGUCCAAAGCUUACCUCAUCGUGGUUGGCAAUCACGAGUAGAGCGUAAAGGUAUAAGGUAAGUUAACUGUGAGACCAACAAGUCGAACAGAUACGAAAGUAGGGCUUAGUGAUCCGGCGGUGGAAAGUGGAAUCGCCGUCGCUCAACGGAUAAAAGGUACUCCGGGGAUAACAGGCUUAUCGCCACCAAGAGUUCAUAUCGACGUGGCGGUUUGGCACCUCGAUGUCGACUCAUCGCAUCCUGGGGCUGAAGAAGGUCCCAAGGGUUUGGCUGUUCGCCAAUUAAAGCGGUACGCGAGUUGGGUUCAAAACGUCGUGAGACAGUUUGGUCCCUAUCUGUUGUGGGCGCAGGAUACUUGAGAGGAGUUGCUUCUAGUACGAGAGGACCGAAGUGAACGAACCAAUGGUGUGCCGGUUGUACUGCCAAGUGCAUAGCCGGGUAGCUAUGUUCGGAAAGGAUAAGCGUUGAAAGCAUCUAAACGCCAAGCCUCCCUCAAGAUAAGGUAUCCCAAUUAGACACCAUGAAGACGACAUGGUAGAUAGGUUGGGUGUGUAAGCACAGUAAUGUGUUGAGCUAACCAAUACUAAUAGGUCGAUUGGCUUGACCAA
RNAcentral lists this ribosomal RNA (2961 nucleotides) under Parachlamydiaceae bacterium. Its description in RNAcentral is "23S ribosomal RNA". It matches the Rfam family "Bacterial large subunit ribosomal RNA". Lineage: Bacteria; Pseudomonadati; Chlamydiota; Chlamydiia; Parachlamydiales; Parachlamydiaceae. The record is from RNAcentral.